This is a long non-coding RNA of Lycium ferocissimum, 667 nucleotides long. RefSeq lists it as uncharacterized. The transcript has 2 exons. NCBI's taxonomy places the organism in Eukaryota, Viridiplantae, Streptophyta, Magnoliopsida, Solanales, Solanaceae. The record is from RefSeq and is a predicted model, not a curated record.
GUUUCCCUCUCUCUCUUUGCUUGGCUUUUUCUGCAUUUUUCUUAAUGGAAUUUGUUAGGUUGUGAUUUCAAAUACUCAAAUCUGAUUGGAUAGUCACACAGUCCCACAUCGAUUUUAAGCAUGAAACUUUAGAAUUUGGGGUUCUAUAUAAAGAACCCCCAAUUCCACAUUAUACACACACACAGAUAUACGAAAAUACUUGCAUAUUUUUAGGAAGAACCUAUUGUAGGUUUUACACUGAUCUUGUGCGGGUACACUUAGGGUUUUGAUUUGCUCAGAACUCUUUUUAGUCUAAAUUUGGUUUGUGUUUCUAAAAUUCUUUUGAUUUCUUUGUGUUUGGCGUGGCUGUGAGGUGUGGAGGAAGCUCAACUCUAUUCUCGACCCAGGCUACCAUCACAAAAGAGGGCCAUUUGGGCCAAGUACAUCAACCAUAAGGUGUUAGGCCUAAGGUCUAACAGCUCCUCCUUUCUUCUAUCGAGUCCGAACCAGCUUGAAGGCCCAACUAUGGAUGAAAAUGGCAACUGGUGGGCUCGGUAGGCCCACCAACCUUACUCCCUCUUUUUUUUUUUUUUUUUUUGUAUAUGUUUUGCAUAUUGUAUUUUGUAAAAGAAUGCUCUUACAUACUGAAACCCGAAUGGAUAUGAACUUACACAUUUUAGCCAAACAA